AGUGAACGCUGGCGGUAGGCCUAACACAUGCAAGUCGAACGGCAGCACAGUAAGAGCUUGCUCUUACGGGUGGCGAGUGGCGGACGGGUGAGGAAUACAUCGGAAUCUACUUUUUCGUGGGGGAUAACGUAGGGAAACUUACGCUAAUACCGCAUACGACCUACGGGUGAAAGCAGGGGAUCUUCGGACCUUGCGCGAUUGAAUGAGCCGAUGUCGGAUUAGCUAGUUGGUGGGGUAAAGGCCCACCAAGGCGACGAUCCGUAGCUGGUCUGAGAGGAUGAUCAGCCACACUGGAACUGAGACACGGUCCAGACUCCUACGGGAGGCAGCAGUGGGGAAUAUUGGACAAUGGGCGUAAGCCUGAUCCAGCCAUACCGCGUGGGUGAAGAAGGCCUUCGGGUUGUAAAGCCCUUUUGUUGGGAAAGAAAAGCAGCAGGUUAAUACCCCGCUGUUCUGACGGUACCCAAAGAAUAAGCACCGGCUAACUUCGUG
Molecule: ribosomal RNA, 492 nt
Filed under: uncultured bacterium
Lineage: Bacteria
Description: partial 16S ribosomal RNA
Rfam family: Bacterial small subunit ribosomal RNA
Source: RNAcentral